Long non-coding RNA from Passer domesticus (house sparrow), 886 nucleotides. RefSeq lists it as uncharacterized. The transcript is spliced from 4 exons. Lineage: Eukaryota; Metazoa; Chordata; Aves; Passeriformes; Passeridae. The record is from RefSeq and is a predicted model, not a curated record.
ACCUAGGAGCCCUCCUGCACAAGCACUGUGCAGUGAGGCGGGCUGUGCUGCUGGCUGACAGAUCCCGCGGAGCUGCUGGCACAGACACUGGGUGACAUGCCACCUGGGCCCAAACUGCCUGGACUGUGAGAUGACUCAAAAUGACCUCCACACCAGGGCCUAAUGGAUUAAUUUCCACCACGAAGGGAGACAUACGUGGAGAUAUGGGGAAGCAGCUGCCUGGAAGGACACGAAACAGACCAUGAAAAAGCGGAUGGGGCUACUUUCCUUUUCCAGGAAGGAAAGACCAUGAAAACCAUGAGCAUGAUUUGCUGAUGACAAAACAAACAGAGAAGCCACAGGUUUCAUGGCUUUGCUGCCAUCUAGCAGAAGAUGGACAGCCUGACAUCCAUCCCCCCACUGGGACAGAGAAGAAUAUUAGAUUGCUGAGGUAGCUGGGGGAUAAUGUGGAUUAUGGUUCAGGUCUGAGCUGGCCAUUCUGGCUGGUGGACUCUUAAAAAAUGGCUUGUUUCUGGAAAAGCAAAUUUAGAAGCAGAACUAGCUGAGAUUCACUCCUGUUGCUGGAGGAGUGAAACAGGCUGGUCUCCCCUGUUGGCACUGUUGGAGUGAAGGAAAUGUGCACCCAAAAGAACAAGGCUUAGGAAAAUUCUGCUAUGCCCUCUAAAGACAAACCUUCUGAGCAAGGGUGAAUCCUGACCACGCUGAGAGCAAUGGUGCACAUGUUCCUGAUAGUCUGUCCUGACCAUGUAAUGUGUCUCCUGGACCACAGAAAAAGAGUUAGCUGCUUCGCUGGAUCAUGGAGAAAAAGGUGCUGAGCCUGGCUGGCUCCUGCCAUUGGGUCACAGUAGCAGGAGGGAAAAAAGCAGAAGCUGGAAACAGACUGGCC